CUUAUGUAGGUUUGACGUGACGCUAAUGCGGAAGUGUCGAUUUUGGAAUGAACCAUGCACCGGAGAGGGGUGGGAGCGGGGGUUAUAGCCAAGAAGAAACUGGCGGAGCCGGCAAAGGAUUCUGGGCGUUGGAGACUUUUAUUACGAGCUGGGGGUUCAGAUAACCAAAGUGUGCCUGGCUCUCAAACACCACAAUGGGGAAAAAGGGAUUUGUGACAGUCGGCGAAAUGAAAUCAAGUUUGAACUGGGAAACGGAAAGAGCUAAACACGUUCUGGUGAGUAAAAUACACGGCUGUAUCUUCACAGAGAAUCCGUGCUGGCAAAUCUGGGAUCCUGGUAACGUGUCGGCGUUGUACGAGUGCGGUCGAUUUAUUUAGGGAGGAGCAUUUACUAAAGGAAGGUUUGGCUUGGGUCGACUCCCAGGCUCCGGGUGAAGCCCAGUACUGGCUGCCAGCUCUCUUCACUGCACUCUAUUGCCCACAAAUGAAUAUGGAAGAGAACGGAGGACCUUCUUGAUUUGCUGGGAGUCAUUGAUGGAAGAAACCUUUAUUACGCCGGACUCUUGUAUCUAUAAAAUAAAGUCCCUUGGGUGAAAAAUCCGUCACGUCGAAAGGACUGGAGAAAUUCAAGAUCUUUAGCCUCUACUUUCCUCUCCUUCUGUCUCCCCGUAUUGUACUCACACACCUGGUGAAUUUAAGGAGGUGCAAGAACAGGAGCCUAACUGAUUAAGGUGAUAACGUUCCCGUUAUACAGACUGAGCCUUGUGAUAUGAUCAGCUCCUCAAUGCCUCCAUGCUGCUGCUGGACUAGUAGAACUGAAACAAGGCUACGGCUGAACAUUGACUUUAAAACAUACCUGGGAAAAUCCAGUAUUGGGAUUUUGAUGUGCUGAGAGCUAGAGUCCGGCAUUGGGUCAGGUAAAUGCGGAAUAACCGCAAAGUGGUCGGGUUUGGUUCAAAUAGUCCCCAAUUGCUUGGCGGUGUCAGCGGGUAACCCGGAUGGGUCCCCAACAUAAGUGCGGUCUGAUCCCUCCCACCCUUGUGGUUCUUCCAGUUUUUACAUUUUAUUGUGAAGAUUCAGCACUGGAGUGACAUCACUUCUGGCCAAAUGUGACGUCACUUCCGGCUUCAAGUGUCCCCCAGGUCGGAAGGUUAGUUGGCCUAUUGCUGGUCGGGACAUGUGGGUCGAAUUGCAGGUUUGUGGUACUAAGAGCAACUGGUGUUAACGUUGUAUUUAUACAGGAAUCAGGGCGAGUGUACGAAGCUUCUCUUUAUGGAAUAAAAACCUUGUUAUAUA
RNA transcript from Xenopus laevis (African clawed frog), 1295 nucleotides. It is a transcript of the gene named vacuolar-sorting protein SNF8-like, with no coding region annotated. The record is from RefSeq and is a predicted model, not a curated record. Lineage: Eukaryota; Metazoa; Chordata; Amphibia; Anura; Pipidae. The transcript has 4 exons.